RNAcentral lists this ribosomal RNA (468 nucleotides) under uncultured bacterium. RNAcentral describes it as "partial 16S ribosomal RNA". It matches the Rfam family "Bacterial small subunit ribosomal RNA", at positions 28 to 507 of the family's 1533-position model. The record is from RNAcentral.
GACGAACGCUGGCGGCGUGCUUAACACAUGCAAGUCGAACGGAAAGGCCCUGCUUUUGUGGGGUGCUCGAGUGGCGAACGGGUGAGUAACACGUGAGUAACCUGCCCUUGACUUUGGUAUAACUUCAGGAAACUGGGGCUAAUACCGGAUAGGAGCUCCUGCUGCAUGGUGGGGGUUGGAAAGUUUCGGCGGUUGGGGAUGGACUCGCGGCUUAUCAGCUUGUUGGUGGGGUAGUGGCUUACCAAGGCUUUGACGGGUAGCCGGCCUGAGAGGGUGACCGGACACAUUGGGACUGAGAUACGGCCCAGACUCCUACGGGAGGCAGCAGUGGGGAAUAGUGCACAAUGGGCGGAAGCCUGAUGCAGCAACGCCGCGUGCGGGAUGACGGCCUUCGGGUUGUAAACCGCUUUCGCCUGUGACGAAGAGUGAGUGACGGUAAUGGGUAAAGAAGCACCGGCUAACUACGUG